RNAcentral lists this ribosomal RNA (844 nucleotides) under Escherichia coli. RNAcentral's name for it is "partial 23S ribosomal RNA". It matches the Rfam family "Bacterial large subunit ribosomal RNA", at positions 1955 to 2798 of the family's 2925-position model. Lineage: Bacteria; Pseudomonadati; Pseudomonadota; Gammaproteobacteria; Enterobacterales; Enterobacteriaceae. The record is from RNAcentral.
GGUAGCGAAAUUCCUUGUCGGGUAAGUUCCGACCUGCACGAAUGGCGUAAUGAUGGCCAGGCUGUCUCCACCCGAGACUCAGUGAAAUUGAACUCGCUGUGAAGAUGCAGUGUACCCGCGGCAAGACGGAAAGACCCCGUGAACCUUUACUAUAGCUUGACACUGAACAUUGAGCCUUGAUGUGUAGGAUAGGUGGGAGGCUUUGAAGUGUGGACGCCAGUCUGCAUGGAGCCGACCUUGAAAUACCACCCUUUAAUGUUUGAUGUUCUAACGUUGACCCGUAAUCCGGGUUGCGGACAGUGUCUGGUGGGUAGUUUGACUGGGGCGGUCUCCUCCUAAAGAGUAACGGAGGAGCACGAAGGUUGGCUAAUCCUGGUCGGACAUCAGGAGGUUAGUGCAAUGGCAUAAGCCAGCUUGACUGCGAGCGUGACGGCGCGAGCAGGUGCGAAAGCAGGUCAUAGUGAUCCGGUGGUUCUGAAUGGAAGGGCCAUCGCUCAACGGAUAAAAGGUACUCCGGGGAUAACAGGCUGAUACCGCCCAAGAGUUCAUAUCGACGGCGGUGUUUGGCACCUCGAUGUCGGCUCAUCACAUCCUGGGGCUGAAGUAGGUCCCAAGGGUAUGGCUGUUCGCCAUUUAAAGUGGUACGCGAGCUGGGUUUAGAACGUCGUGAGACAGUUCGGUCCCUAUCUGCCGUGGGCGCUGGAGAACUGAGGGGGGCUGCUCCUAGUACGAGAGGACCGGAGUGGACGCAUCACUGGUGUUCGGGUUGUCAUGCCAAUGGCACUGCCCGGUAGCUAAAUGCGGAAGAGAUAAGUGCUGAAAGCAUCUAAGCACGAAACUUGCC